AUGAGUUGGUCCAAGAUGAAGAAAGUGAUGCGGCGAGAGUUUGUGCCUCCAACCUACACGGAACAUCUUCAACGCCAAUUGGAGAACACCAUACAAGGAUCCAAGUCCCUCGACGAGUACUUCAAGAACAUGAAGGAAGCCUUGCGACGUGCCGGCGUGGACGACCCCAUUUGGAUGAAGUUCUACUUCAUGAUGGGAUUGAACAACGACAUCUCCAAGACUAUCUUCCUCGAGAACUACAAGUCCCUCGAUGACAACUACUUUGGUGCUCUCAAGGCGGAGCAAGAACUCAAGAAGGCCACGUCUACUCGACCCCGAGCUCACUUUGCAACGACCAUGCUACAAGAUGGCGAGAGUGAUGAUGUGCCAUCUUCGGCCUUCAUACAUGACGAGAGUGAUGAUGUGCCAUCUUCGGCCUUCAUCCACGACGACGACUACGAGAUGGUUGAGCAUGGGAUGCUCCCUUCGACCACGGCAAUGUAUGAUGACUUGAGUGAUUUUUGCCACCAUAUUGAGAGUGAGAGUGACUUCACCACUAGCCCCAUAUAUGAUGAGCUGCCCCAAUUCCCAUGUGAGGAGAGCCACCACCACCACCACUUGAGUGAUUUGAGUGACUCCACCAUAUGCGACAUUGAGUGCACCUACCUUGAGGGAGUGAGUGAGCCAACACCACAUAGGGAGAGUGAGAUAGUUGAUGAGGCAUAUGAGGCCAUUUCUCUUUCUAACAACUUAACCUCUACCUUUAUUAUGUCUUCUCAUUUGGUGCUAGGUCCCAUAUAUGAUGACGCGCCGAUCCUCGACGACUUCGUCCUCCCUUUGGACAUGACGAUGUCCAUGGUGGACUAUGAUGCACCCCCCACAUGGUUCCAUCACGAUGACGAUGAACAUGAUUUGGUCUUUCCCACCUCAUCUACACCACUUGAGUGGAAUGAUAAAGGUAACAUAGGUGAAGGUGAUGCUCUAGUCCCACUAGUGGACAUUCUUGAUUUUGAUUGCUUGCAUGAUGUUGAUCCACCUAUUACCAUGCUUCAUGCUAGUAUGAUUUCCCCAUGCGAUGAUUUGCCCAUUUAUGAUGAGUUUGAUGAUUGCCAUGAGGAGUCUAGUAGUUGUGAUGCCAUGUUACAUAGGAUUUCUUGUGAUAAUUCUCUUGGUCACAUCAUGUUUGAUAAUCCGCUUGACUUGUCAUAUGCUAUGCAUGAGAUCUCCCUUAUGUCAUAUUUGCAAUCUCAUUGUAGUGACUAUGCAUAUGCCAUUAAAAUAAACCCAAUUUGCACAUAUGUCAUAGAUGACAAGCCCAUGGUUAUUGGCAUUUGUUUUUCUCGUGAUGAUAUUGAUAUGCUCCCUUUGCAUCAAUUAUCUAAUAUGCCAUGCCAUGACCACCGAGCUUCGAACAUGCAUUGUUUGCCAUGUUGUCCAUUUUCUCCAUAUUAUGCUUCCGAUAUUGCUCAUGAGGAGACCCCCAUAGUUUCCUCAUACCCAUUAGGAGAUUUUGAUCCAUCCUAUGAUUUGCAUGAUUUCCAUGAUUAUGUGCACCAUAUGCUCCCCAUGAAUAAACAUGCUUUUCAUGUGCCAUAUACUUGUUUGCUCAAUUUGUGUCCCCACCGUGUCAUACAUAACAACUAUUCUUUCAUUAUGGAUGACAUGUUCAUAUACCAUGCCUCAAAUUUCUUUGAGCAUUGCUUAUCUUGUGCUAACUCACACGUGCACAUACACAUCAUGAUGGAUGAUGUGUACAUUUACCACACACACAAUUUCUUUCGUUUGUCUCUUUUGUGUAGGUACCCAUGA
This 1788-nucleotide ribosomal RNA is filed under the name Triticum aestivum (bread wheat). Its description in RNAcentral is "partial small subunit ribosomal RNA". Lineage: Eukaryota; Viridiplantae; Streptophyta; Magnoliopsida; Poales; Poaceae. The record is from RNAcentral.